GAUGAACGCUGGCGGCGUGCUUAACACAUGCAAGUCGAACGAUGAAGCCCAGCUUGCCGGGUGGAUUAGUGGCGAACGGGUGAGUAACACGUGAGUAACCUGCCCUUAACUCUGGGAUAAGCCUGGGAAACUGGGUCUAAUACCGGAUAGGAGCGUCCACCGCAUGGUGGGUGUUGGAAAGAUUUAUCGGUUUUGGAUGGACUCGCGGCCUAUCAGCUUGUUGGUGAGGUAAUGGCUCACCAAGGCAACGACGGGUAGCCGGCCUGAGAGGGUGACCGGCCACACUGGGACUGAGACACGGCCCAGACUCCUACGGGAGGCAGCAGUGGGGAAUAUUGCACAAUGGGCGCAAGCCUGAUGCAGCGACGCCGCGUGAGGGAUGACGGCCUUCGGGUUGUAAACCUCUUUCAGUAGGGAAGAAGCGAAAGUGACGGUACCUGCAGAAGAAGCACCGGCUAACUACGUG
RNAcentral lists this ribosomal RNA (466 nucleotides) under uncultured bacterium. RNAcentral's name for it is "partial 16S ribosomal RNA". It matches the Rfam family "Bacterial small subunit ribosomal RNA", at positions 28 to 507 of the family's 1533-position model. The record is from RNAcentral.